Molecule: ribosomal RNA, 466 nt
Filed under: uncultured bacterium
Lineage: Bacteria
Description: bacterial SSU rRNA
Rfam family: Bacterial small subunit ribosomal RNA
Source: RNAcentral
UCCAGACUCCUACGGGAGGCAGCAGUGAGGAAUAUUGGUCAAUGGGCGAGAGCCUGAACCAGCCAAGUCGCGUGAGGGAAGACGGUCCUAUGGAUUGUAAACCUCUUUAGGCGGGGAGCAAUGCCGGGCACGCGUGUCCGGAGGGAGAGUACCCGCAGAAUAAGCAUCGGCUAACUCCGUGCCAGCAGCCGCGGUAAUACGGAGGAUGCGAGCGUUAUCCGGAUUUAUUGGGUUUAAAGGGUGCGUAGGCGGAUUUUUAAGUCAGCGGUAAAAUGUCCGGGCUCAACCCGGGCCGGCCGUUGAAACUGGGGAUCUUGAGUGGGCGAGAAGUAUGCGGAAUGCGUGGUGUAGCGGUGAAAUGCAUAGAUAUCACGCAGAACUCCGAUUGCGAAGGCAGCAUACCGGCGCCCGACUGACGCUGAGGCACGAAAGCGUGGGGAUCGAACAGGAUUAGAUACCCGCGUAA